This is a non-coding RNA of Myotis brandtii (Brandt's bat), 76 nucleotides long. Lineage: Eukaryota; Metazoa; Chordata; Mammalia; Chiroptera; Vespertilionidae. The record is from Rfam.
GGUGGUUCUCAGGUGAUGCACCCCAGAAUCAGUCUCCCUCCUUUCUGGUUCUGAGAUGCUUUAGCCGAGAACCUCC